RNAcentral lists this ribosomal RNA (490 nucleotides) under uncultured bacterium. Its description in RNAcentral is "partial 16S ribosomal RNA". It matches the Rfam family "Bacterial small subunit ribosomal RNA", at positions 28 to 507 of the family's 1533-position model. The record is from RNAcentral.
GAUGAACGCUAGCUACAGGCUUAACACAUGCAAGUCGCGGGGCAGCAUGGGGGUUGCUUGCAAUCCCCGAUGGCGACCGGCGCACGGGUGAGUAACGCGUAUCCAACCUGCCCUUCACCACGGGAUAACCCGGCGAAAGUCGGACUAAUACCGUAUGUUGUCCAUUGACGGCAUCCGAUUUGGACGAAAGGUUUGGCGGGGAAGGAUGGGGAUGCGUCCGAUUAGCUGGACGGCGGGGUGACGGCCCGCCGUGGCGACGAUCGGUAGGGGUUCUGAGAGGAAGGUCCCCCACACUGGAACUGAGACACGGUCCAGACUCCUACGGGAGGCAGCAGUGAGGAAUAUUGAUCAAUGGGCGUAAGCCUGAACCAGCCAAGUAGCGUGCAGGAUGACGGCCCUAUGGGUUGUAAACUGCUUUUAUGCGGGGAUAAAGUGGCCCACGUGUGGGUUUUUGCAGGUACCGCAUGAAUAAGGACCGGCUAAUUCCGUG